GACAAUAGUUCUUCACAAGUAGAUGAGAGGAGCGAUGGAAGUGACGUUUCUAAAGGCAAUGAACAGGAGGUGAAAAACACAAGUUCUGAUAAGAAGAAACAGAAAGAGUUGAGGUGGCAGCAAGAGCAGGAGAAGAGAAAUCAAAAGAAAACACUGGAAAGGGACAACAAAUACAGAAAGAAA
This is a long non-coding RNA of Salvelinus namaycush (lake trout), 183 nucleotides long. RefSeq lists it as uncharacterized. Lineage: Eukaryota; Metazoa; Chordata; Actinopteri; Salmoniformes; Salmonidae. The transcript has 3 exons. The record is from RefSeq and is a predicted model, not a curated record.